UACGUAGGGGGCAAGCGUUGUCCGGAUUUAUUGGGCGUAAAGAGCUCGUAGGUGGUUCGGUAAGUCGGAUGUGAAAUCUCCAGGCUCAACCUGGAGGGGUCAUUCGAUACUGCCGUGACUAGAGUUCGGUAGGGGAGUGUGGAAUUCCAGGUGUAGCGGUGAAAUGCGUAGAUAUCUGGAGGAAUACCGGUGGCGAAGGCGGCAUCCUGGACCGACAUUGACGCUGAUGAGCGAAAGCUAGGGGAGCAAACGGG
This 254-nucleotide ribosomal RNA is filed under the name uncultured bacterium. RNAcentral's name for it is "partial 16S ribosomal RNA". It matches the Rfam family "Bacterial small subunit ribosomal RNA", at positions 524 to 776 of the family's 1533-position model. The record is from RNAcentral.